This 233-nucleotide long non-coding RNA is filed under the name Serinus canaria (Common canary). RNAcentral describes it as "lncRNA (ENSSCAG00000003828.1)". The record is from RNAcentral. Lineage: Eukaryota; Metazoa; Chordata; Aves; Passeriformes; Fringillidae.
GCUAAAGUGUCAGUCUGAGACCUCUAAAGCUCUGCACCCAGUCACCGCCACAAAGAAGCUUUAAAACUAGCAUGAAGACCAGCACUGGAUGCACAGCCUGUUGGCUUCCUUAUGACCUGCACCACACUGGAGUGCAGAGAUUGGAACACAAGCUCUGUCUUCCUGUUGGAUCUCAGCUCUUCUCCAGUCCUUCAAGGAAGAAGGCCACUUGCAUCAUGAAGGCAUGUGCUUGA